Long non-coding RNA from Myripristis murdjan (pinecone soldierfish), 92 nucleotides. RefSeq lists it as uncharacterized. Lineage: Eukaryota; Metazoa; Chordata; Actinopteri; Holocentriformes; Holocentridae. The record is from RefSeq and is a predicted model, not a curated record. The transcript is spliced from 3 exons.
UAAAAUUAUUUUGAACUCGCUCAAUAGGGGGCGCCACCAGCUCCAAUUAUGUGCAUGUGCCCGGUGCAAAUUUGGCCAUAAAUCAGUGACAG